UACGGAGGAUGCGAGCGUUAUCCGGAUUUAUUGGGUUUAAAGGGUGCGUAGGCGGCCUGCCAAGUCAGCGGUAAAAUUGCGGGGCUCAACCCCGUACAGCCGUUGAAACUGCCGGGCUCGAGUGGGCGAGAAGUAUGCGGAAUGCGUGGUGUAGCGGUGAAAUGCAUAGAUAUCACGCAGAACCCCGAUUGCGAAGGCAGCAUACCGGCGCCCGACUGACGCUGAGGCACGAAAGUGCGGGGAUCAAAUAGG
This 252-nucleotide ribosomal RNA is filed under the name uncultured bacterium. RNAcentral's name for it is "partial 16S ribosomal RNA". It matches the Rfam family "Bacterial small subunit ribosomal RNA", at positions 524 to 776 of the family's 1533-position model. The record is from RNAcentral.